UUUUAUAUGAUAGAAUAAGAGUAUGAAGUAAUUUUUAAAAGAUAUUAAAAUAUAUAAUAUGGUUAAAUUUUAAUUAACUAAUCAUGUAUACUAUGUGAAAUAUCUUAGUUAGUUUUAUAUUUACAGUAGUGUGAUAGGUUUGAGGAGUGGGUUGAAAUUAUGAGUGCAAGUUAUAAUAUACGAGGGGUGAAAAUAGAAAGUUUUGAGUGCAAGCUAUAAAAUAGGUUUGAGGAGUGGGUUAAAAUAGAAGGGGGUGUGCGUUUAGCAAACAAGAGGUCCAAUGAUCUUCUCAUGAAUUAUUAGAAGCUGAAACUUCUCCCUAUCUUGAAUUAUGACAUCACGUACUCAAUUUCCAUCUUUUUCUUCUCUUCAAAAACUAACCACCCUAUUCUCUUCGUCUCCAC
RNAcentral lists this long non-coding RNA (404 nucleotides) under Vigna radiata. RNAcentral's name for it is "long non-coding RNA (VRAD_LNC013835)". Lineage: Eukaryota; Viridiplantae; Streptophyta; Magnoliopsida; Fabales; Fabaceae. The record is from RNAcentral.